UUAUUUUUACAAAUGUAAUUUUAUUUUUCUUACAUAAGUAAUACUUUUUAUUUUUGAAAUCUUAGAAACUAUAGUUAAACAAUCAGAAGAGAACUGAAAAUAUCUAUAAUUACUACUGCACCAAUGACAUUGAUUUGUAUAACUUCCAGGUCCUUCUGAGAAUACGUUUUGAUGUAGGUAUAACAUUAUUAAGUAGAUAAGCUUCACAUUCUUAUACUGAGAAGAUCCCCUGGAAAAUACGGGGGUUAGAAGGAAAAACAAAUGCUUUUGGGUAGAUACGUUUAGCAGCAUUAAUAUCAAACUGUUCACAAAAGUUCUGCCACUUGAAUAUCGCUUUAGCCAUUUUUUUGCAAAACAAUAAAAAAAAGAAAGAAAGAAAGAAAGAGAAAAAAGAGAAGGUGUGUGCUGUGUGCCAGGCUGCUGUGAUGCAAAUACCGUCAGUCGACAUAAAGUAACGGCCAGAAUGAAAACCCCAAACACAUAUGGCUGGUAGAAUAUCUGUGGCUAAUAAUUAUUUUUAAGGUUUUUUUUUUGAGAGAGAGCACGCGCACAUGCAUAAAUAAAACAUUGAAAAAUAACAGUAAGUCCUUUUGAACUUACUUUGCUUAAGAAGUAGUGGACCAAAGGGAAACAUUCAAAUAUCAUCUGGAUUGAAUCUAAACCAAACUCAUAGUCCUUUUGAAUUUCUGCUCUGAGGAUCUGUGAGACUGAAGCAGGGUUCUCCACAUAUGCAGAGAUAGAUGAAGGGUUUCUGGGUCGUGCUGUGAGCGUAACUGGUCAUCAGAGGAAGUGGUACAGUCUGUCCGUAGGCUAGAACACACAGAGCGAUCUCUACGUGUACUUUGUAUCUGGUGCUGCAAAGGCUUUAGGGAUAUGGGGUGAACAACACAGAAAUGCAUUCCACCCUCCUUGAGUUCACUGUCCAGUGAGAUGACCAUUAAACAAACAAGUACUUAGUCCCAAAGGAGAACAAAUGACUUCAGUAGUGAAUAACUGAAGAACCAAUCUUUGUCUCCAAGCUUCAGAUGAAACCUCCCGGAGGAUCCAGUGGAAUGCCAAAGGUGAAGGAGGAGUUGGUCCCCACCUCAGCCCUUCCCCGGAACUUCUGGCAAGAGGCAACAGAACACCGAAGGCUCAGAGGCAGACAUUCACAAAACUAUAGGAAGACCUCUGUGGCUAAAGAAUAAGUGAAGGAGAGGGAAGAGGUAAGCCUUCAAUUUGUAAUCAGGGGAUCGUCCUGACACCGAGAACUUCUCCAUCUCACUGACAUGCCUCCAUCGAUACUGGAAUUGUUUCCUUAAAGGAACAUCAUGCCUAUCUCUACAUGGGUCCACACAGCUUUCAAGCAGAAUAGGGUAUCUGGUUAGUCUUUAUAAAUCUAAAUGGAAUAACCAGGACCCACGAGUAGAAGCUCCAGUCAUGUCUACUCAUUCCUUGGACUUAAUAAAAGGGAUACAUCCCUGGAAAUUCAAGCUGUCCAACAAAUGAAUGAGCCGUCUGGCAAGAUCUGACACAAGUGUGCACUGGCCUGGAUCCACCUCCUCUUGGUUAAGGAGCCAUCUCUACAGUCAUCCUCUGUCCUGGGCAGUGGCAAGUGUGGAUUUUCUUAGCCCAGGCCAGCUGACCUCAGACACCAGCGUUAUCUGCGGAGACCGACCCCAACCUGCUCUUGGCACGCCGAGAUGUUGACAACACCUCUUCUUCUGCUGCUGGGAGCAGAUACAGUCUGCAAACACCAUCACACCAUCAUGAGAAUUCUCUCGGCCUCUUCCCACACCACGGACCCGUCCACACAGCAUUACCAUCAGGCAGGCAAGCUGAGGCAGCAAGAAUCUGCUUAUGCUGACAGCCGACGCGUGGGUGGGUAGGCACCGUGCCCUAGAAGCAAGUACUAUUAAGGCUUAAGGAUGCAGGCUUGAAUUUAUGUAUUUGUAUAAGAUCAACCCCCCCUCCUUCCUUUGUUCUGUCUCUGCGCUCCCUCAUUUCCCUUGAAUCUCUUUCAUGAUGGUGGUACAAUAGUACCUACUCCAGGGUGCUGUUAGGCACUUCUUCCCAUUAGCAUUUCAUUGUUCCAUAGGUUUUAGGUGUUCCUGUGCCCUGCUAGCCUGAGGACACCAGAAACUGUUCCAAUGGUCACUUCUACCAGUUAGUGUUGACUACAUAACAAAUUGCCCCUUGAUGGCUUAAAAUAACAACCAGUUUUUAGCUCGCAACUCUGCCCUUUGGCCAUUUGGACUGAGUGCAUGUAGAUAGUUCUGGCUGGGGAUUCGCUGGUUGAAGGGCCUCAGUUGAAACGGCUUAUCUCUACUUUGCACGGUUUCUCAUCUUCCAGCAGGCUCUCCCAGAAUGGUCACCUGGUGACUGCAGUUUUCCAAGAACAAAACAUCGGAAGUUGCAAGGCCUCUUCCCCCCACCCCUAGUUUUGUUGAGAAAUAAUUGGCAUAUAUCAUUAUAUAAGUUCAAGGUGUAGCACAUGAUGGUUUAAUGGGAGAAACCAUUAAACCAUGGUUUAAUGAGCACCACAAUAGGUUUAGUUAAUAUCCAUCUUCUCAUAUAGAUACAAUAAAAAGAAAAAAAUUCUUACGACGAGUGUUCUUAGGAUUUACCGUCUUAACGAUUUUCCUAGAUAUCAUCCAGCAGCGUAGCUAAAGUCAUCAUGUACAUUACAUCCCUAGUGCUUAUCUAUCUUACUACUAGAGGUUUGUACCUUCUGACCACCAAUUCCCUCUCCCUUCCCUCUUGCCUCAAGCAACUACAAGGCUUUUUCCAUAUCUCUUUUCUCACCAGUUUGAUUUUUUAAAUUUUUUCAUUAGAGUCUACAUAUAAGUGAGAUCAUACAGGAUUUGUCCAUCUCUGACUUAUUUCACUUAGCAUAAUUUCUU
This is a long non-coding RNA of Leopardus geoffroyi (Geoffroy's cat), 2882 nucleotides long. RefSeq lists it as uncharacterized. The record is from RefSeq and is a predicted model, not a curated record. Lineage: Eukaryota; Metazoa; Chordata; Mammalia; Carnivora; Felidae. The transcript has 3 exons.